RNAcentral lists this ribosomal RNA (562 nucleotides) under uncultured bacterium. Its description in RNAcentral is "partial 16S ribosomal RNA". It matches the Rfam family "Bacterial small subunit ribosomal RNA", at positions 355 to 1375 of the family's 1533-position model. The record is from RNAcentral.
UGGGGAAUAUUGCACAAUGGGCGAAAGCCUGAUGCAGCAACGCCGCGUGAGUGAUGAAGGCCUUCGGGUUGUAAAGCUCUGUCUUUUGGGACGAUAAUGACGGUACCAAAGGAGGAAGCCACGGCUAACUACGUGCCAGCAGCCGCGGUAAUACGUAGGUGGCAAGCGUUGUCCGGAUUUACUGGGCGUAAAGGAUGCGUAGGCGGAUUUUUAAGUGAGAUGUGAAAACCCUAAGCUUAACUUGGGGACUGCAUUUCAUACUGGAAAUCUAGAGUGCGGGAGAGGAGAAUGGAAUUCCUAGUGUAGCGGUGAAAUGCGUAGAGAUUAGGAAGAACACCAGUGGCGAAGGCGAUUCUCUGGACCGUAACUGACGCUGAGGCAUGAAAGCGUGGGUAGCAAACAGGAUUAGAUACCCUGGUAGUCCACGCCGUAAACGAUGAGUACUAGGUGUAGGAGGUAUCGACCCCUUCUGUGCCGCGGUUAACACAAUAAGUACUCCGCCUGGGAAGUACGAUCGCAAGAUUAAAACUCAAAUGAAUUGACGGGGUCAUAGCUGUUUCCU